RNAcentral lists this ribosomal RNA (632 nucleotides) under uncultured eukaryote. RNAcentral's name for it is "eukaryotic LSU rRNA". It matches the Rfam family "Eukaryotic large subunit ribosomal RNA", at positions 57 to 670 of the family's 3401-position model. The record is from RNAcentral.
AAAAGAAACUAACAAGGAUUCCCCUAGUAACGGCGAGUGAAGAGGGAAAAGCUCAAAUUUAAAAGCUGUUGUCUUUCAGGCAACCGCAUUGUAAUCUCAAGAAGUGUUUUCGAUUGUAGCCUGCGUAUAAGUACCUUGGAAUAGGUUGGCAUAGAGGGUGAAACUCCCGUCUUUGAUGCAGAUUACUAUGAUCAUGUGAUACACUUUCUAAGAGUCGAGUUGUUUGGGAAUGCAGCUCAAAAUGGGUGGUAAAUUCCAUCUAAAGCUAAAUAUUGGCCUGAGACCGAUAGCGAACAAGUACCGUGAGGGAAAGAUGAAAAGCACUUUGGAAAGAGAGUCAAACAGAACGUGAAAUUGCUGAAAGGGAAGCGUUUGAAGUUAGUCUGAUAGGAGUUGUUCAAUUGUUACUUUGGUUUCAAUGUAUGCAACUUUUUAUCGGUCAACAUCAAUUUUGAUUGAUGGAUAAAGGUAAUAGGAAUGUGGCUACAUUUUUGUAGUGUUAUAGACUAUUAUCAUAAACAUUGAUUGAGAUUGAGGACGGCAGUGUACCUUUUAGGAAGGUGUUCGCACCUAUUACACUAAGGAUGUUGACAAAAUAGCUUUAAGCGACCCGUCUUGAAACACGGACCAAG